This 2633-nucleotide long non-coding RNA is filed under the name Homo sapiens (human). RNAcentral's name for it is "HSALNT0101373". The record is from RNAcentral. Lineage: Eukaryota; Metazoa; Chordata; Mammalia; Primates; Hominidae.
UAGGGGAGGAAAGAUAGGGGAGGAAAGCCUGGCCCUGAUGGGACAUCUAUUCAAUGGCGUGUUCCAGUGACAUGAAGCAAAGGGGAUGAGACUGAGCGUGGCUGAGGACAGGUGUACUCCAACAUGAAAACGGAGCAUGCAUGUGAGCUGAGUAGUGACAUGCAACAUGCAUGUCCAUUGAUCCUUGCUGCUCAUUCACAUACAGUGUUCGCGAUGCCCCCUGGACACAGAAUUCCAGUGGACCCACCACGUGUGGGGAUUCAGGGGAGACUCAAAGCAAAUACAAGGAAAAAAGGCCCUUGGAUAUUCUAUUGUCUGCACUGAUUGAGGCAACGAGAAAGCUAAUGGAAAUAGUGGAUCUUGAGAUGAACAAGACAUACCCCUAAUUCGUAAGACACCCGAGGUCUAGUGGAAAAACAAAUCCCUAAAGCAGUAGUAAAACCGCAGUCAUGAUAAAAUGGAAGAAGCAACAGGAUUGUACCCACCUAUAACGAGAAAGCUUAACUUACUGACAUAUUCUCAUUGCUGAAGACUCUGUCUGAAUGAGGAUUUCAAUCUCAAGUCUAGGAUGUGAUUUCAUCUGGUGAAGGGGAGAGGCAGACACGGAAGAAGCGCAUCUGUAGCUAAGAAAGAAAUACACUGACCCCAUUUCCAGUGGUUGAGCUUCUCUCCAAGUAGGUAGAUGCUGGCGAUGAAGACGUAGCUGAGAGAGAAGAAAGCUGCUAGACCCAAGAGGCUGAGUUUGGCAAACACAGGAUACACCCAGGCAUUUUGGUUGAAUAAGAACUAAGGUUUGAACAGGAAAGAUGAGAAGAGCAGGAGAUGAGAUACCCUCUCCUCUCCUAGUCCUCCACCUCCAUCCCUCUUCAGUUUGGAUCCUGGCUGGGCUGGACCCCGCAUGUUGACAACAAGGAUGUGUUGUGUGGCAUCUUUUUAAUUAAUUUUCAUAUAUGAAUUUACAGGUAGGGUAAGGAUUUCUUCUGUGGAAAAUGGUGCUGAGAUUCCAAUCCCUGCUGAGUUGAGGUUAUAAAGCUAUGGUUGACCUGGAUGAUCUCAGUUGAAGGUCAUAUUUUGGAAACGGUAACAGUGGCUCUGGUAGGGAGUUCACAACAUGGUUGGUUCUGAGCAGGACCAACCAUGUGUUAGGGAAAAUAUUUAUUCAAUAGAAAAAUGAAUAAAAACCAGAAAGAGAAGAAGAGAAUUGCUGAUUCUGGAAAUGGCAAGGUGGCUGGUCCUGGAACUCAGCUUAGUCCACCCCUUGGCAGUUUUUAAUGUAUUCUCAGGGUAAGAUGUGUACAUGUAUUUGUAAAUGAGGCAUGAAUUUAAAGAACUGUUACUUCUGGGAACCCAGGAAGCUUUGCUGAGGGAUCUUACCCUGGAGAGCACAGUAUAAAAGAAAGUAAUUCUCUCUCUUGCCUCAUAGCAACUACUUUGGGGAAGGGACUUUACAAACAUCUGCCCCAAGGCUGGGUGACAGCUGCAUAUCUGUGCAGUGUUUGUACGGGGCAUGCAAUACUUUACACACUAGCAGGGACACCUGCAGCAUCAGUAGGUUUCUGGUCUACCAAGAGCAGUGUGAUGAUGCACUCCAGGCCAGCUGGGGUGGUUGCUGUGGCGAGUAACAUUGUUAAUUCUACCAACACAGGGGGCUGAUGGGUAAAUGACACUGUUGGCAUCAGCAGUGGGCAUGGUGUGCUAACCCUUAACACUGUGCCAGGUGGGGAUGUUGGACCCAGUGGGGAUUACAGUUUUGCUAUCUGUGUGUAAGAACAAUGCUCAGAACAGUGUGCAGCAUGGGUUGUGCAGUGCACGACAGGGGCAUGUGUGAGCACUCAGCAGAUUAUUGGAACUCCUUGGAAAACUGGACCAAGACCUCCAAGGCAGAAGGGUGCUUGGGGAUAUCACUGGAACUGUGAAAUAACCAUACAUAAAAACUAAGACAUUGUGAUCAAAGUACAUAAUGUGCUGGCUAGUUUUUAUUUUUAUAUUGGUUUAUAUUUUAUUUUGUUUCCCAUCUCUUGUCACUCCAACUUAUUUGAAGCACUAUUGUCAAGAAUGACAUUUUAAAGCAUAAUUUGCUGGCCAAGUUACAAAUACUGCUCACCCUUGCUUCCACUCCAAACAAACAAACAAACAACAGCAACAACAAAUGCUCCCAUUUUCUAUACUAUGUCCAACAUCCUCUAGUCUGCCAUCUGCAAGCCUUCAUGAGUGGGUAGUUCCAGGGAUAUUUCUCAUUAGUCUCUUUCACAAACAGGUCCAGCAAAGAGAAUUACUGACCCUUGCUCUCACGCUUUCUGCACUCUCCUGGCCUUGGGACUGUGCUCCUUUUGUUUACCUUCUCUCAUUUUUUCUAGCUCCAAUCCUGCCGGUCCUUCAGGGCUCAGAUCCAAUGCAUGCCUUCCACAGUGCCCUUCCCACACCGCUCAGCUGGAUGCAAACUCUUCCUUUUCUGUGGCUCCUUGUGUUUUUUUUAUGAGGUUUUACCACUUUCCAUCUUCUGCACUUAUAAUUUGUAUGCAUGGGUCAUCUCCACUUAUUAAGGAUAAACCCCCUGCAGGCUGAAGCUUGGCCUGAUAUAACAUUGCUUUUCUGGGCAGGACCAACCAUGUGUUAGGGAAAAUAUUUAUUCA